This 497-nucleotide ribosomal RNA is filed under the name uncultured bacterium. RNAcentral describes it as "partial 16S ribosomal RNA". It matches the Rfam family "Bacterial small subunit ribosomal RNA", at positions 28 to 507 of the family's 1533-position model. The record is from RNAcentral.
GAUGAACGCUGGCGGCGUGCCUAAUACAUGCAAGUCGAGCGAACAGACGAGGAGCUUGCUCCUCUGACGUUAGCGGCGGACGGGUGAGUAACACGUGGAUAACCUACCUAUAAGACUGGGAUAACUUCGGGAAACCUGAGCUAAUACCGGAUAAUAUAUUGAACCGCAUGGUUCAAUAGUGAAAGACGGUUUUGCUGUCACUUAUAGAUGGAUCCGCGCCGCAUUAGCUAGUUGGUAAGGUAACGGCUUACCAAGGCAACGAUGCGUAGCCGACCUGAGAGGGUGAUCGGCCACACUGGAACUGAGACACGGUCCAGACUCCUACGGGAGGCAGCAGUAGGGAAUCUUCCGCAAUGGGCGAAAGCCUGACGGAGCAACGCCGCGUGAGUGAUGAAGGUCUUCGGAUCGUAAAACUCUGUUAUUAGGGAAGAACAAAUGUGUAAGUAACUAUGCACGUCUUGACGGUACCUAAUCAGAAAGCCACGGCUAACUACGUG